GCGGGUAUAGCUUAGUGGUAGAGCGCGACAUUGCCAAUGUCGACAUAGGGGUCCGAUUCCCCUUACCCGCU
RNAcentral lists this transfer RNA (71 nucleotides) under Candidatus Woesebacteria bacterium GW2011_GWF1_31_35. RNAcentral's name for it is "tRNA-Gly". It matches the Rfam family "tRNA". From Rfam's summary of the family: Transfer RNA (tRNA) molecules are approximately 80 nucleotides in length. Their secondary structure includes four short double-helical elements and three loops (D, anti-codon, and T loops). Further hydrogen bonds mediate the characteristic L-shaped molecular structure. tRNAs have two regions of fundamental functional importance: the anti-codon, which is responsible for specific mRNA codon recognition, and the 3' end, to which the tRNAs corresponding amino acid is attached (by aminoacyl-tRNA synthetases). tRNAs cope with the degeneracy of the genetic code in two manners: having more than one tRNA (with a specific anti-codon) for a particular amino acid; and 'wobble' base-pairing, i.e. permitting non-standard base-pairing at the 3rd anti-codon position. RNAcentral also lists the same sequence under 1 other name. The record is from RNAcentral. Lineage: Bacteria; Candidatus Woeseibacteriota.